Molecule: ribosomal RNA, 462 nt
Filed under: uncultured bacterium
Lineage: Bacteria
Description: partial 16S ribosomal RNA
Rfam family: Bacterial small subunit ribosomal RNA
Source: RNAcentral
AACCAACGCUGGCGGCGUGCCUAAUACAUGCAAGUCGAACGGGGAAAGCUUUCGGGUGAGUACUAGUGGCGCACGGGUGAGGAACGCGUGGAUAAUCUGCCUUAGAGUGGGGGAUAACUAGUCGAAAGAUUAGCUAAUACCGCAUAAGACCACGAGAGCUGCGGCUUUUGAGGUCAAAGGUUUUUCGCUCUAAGAUGAGUCCGCGUAAGAUUAGCUAGUUGGUGAGGUAACGGCUCACCAAGGCGACGAUCUUUAACUGGUCUGAGAGGAUGAUCAGUCACACUGGAACUGAGACACGGUCCAGACUCCUACGGGAGGCAGCAGUAGGGAAUAGUGCAAAAUGGAGGAAACUCUGAUGCAGCGACGCCGCGUGAGUGAUGAAGGCCUUCGGGUCGUAAAGCUCUGUCGCAGGGGAAUAACACAAUGAAGGUACCCUGUAAGAAAGGAUCGGCUAACUUCGUG